AGUCUUAUAGUCAAAAAUGAUAUUAAAUUGCAAAUUUAAUGGUAAGUGCAUAGCCACUUAAGGCUU
RNAcentral lists this transfer RNA (66 nucleotides) under Staphylinidae sp. BMNH 1274171. Its description in RNAcentral is "tRNA-Cys". Lineage: Eukaryota; Metazoa; Arthropoda; Insecta; Coleoptera; Staphylinidae. The record is from RNAcentral.